UGGGGAAUAUUGGACAAUGGGGGGAACCCUGAUCCAGCAAUGCCGCGUGUGUGAAGAAGGCCUGAGGGUUGUAAAGCACUUUCAGAGGGGAGGAGGACUAUUAGGUUAAGAGCUAGAUAGUUGGACGUUACCCUCAGAAGAAGCACCGGCUAACUCUGUGCCAGCAGCCGCGGUAAUACAGAGGGUGCGAGCGUUAAUCGGAAUUACUGGGCGUAAAGCGCACGUAGGUGGCGACGUAAGUCGGGUGUGAAAUCCCCGGGCUCAACCUGGGAACCACAUUCGAGACUGUGUUGCUGGAGUACGGAAGAGGAGGGCGGAAUUCCCGGUGUAGCGGUGAAAUGCGUAGAUAUCGGGAGGAACAUCAGUGGCGAAGGCGGCCCUCUGGUCCAGUACUGACACUCAAGUGCGAAAGCGUGGGGAGCAAACAGGAUUAGAUACCCAAGUAGUCCCUGAGCGGGCUGGCAAGGCGCAU
Molecule: ribosomal RNA, 472 nt
Filed under: uncultured bacterium
Lineage: Bacteria
Description: bacterial SSU rRNA
Rfam family: Bacterial small subunit ribosomal RNA
Source: RNAcentral